Brachypodium distachyon (stiff brome) is the source of this 3695-nucleotide long non-coding RNA. RefSeq lists it as uncharacterized. The transcript has 2 exons. The record is from RefSeq and is a predicted model, not a curated record. Lineage: Eukaryota; Viridiplantae; Streptophyta; Magnoliopsida; Poales; Poaceae.
UUGCAAUACCAUUUGUGGAACUAGCAUUAUGAUAGUCUGAAUUCUGAAAUGCUUCUGUUGAGUAAUUCAAUAUAGUUGCAUUGCUAAAGACUAAAGAUAGCUUACAUGGAAUCUUAUAGUUAAGCGAAAUAGCCGGGCCUACUUUCGUGCCCUUUUAGAAUUCAAUAUAUCAGAUGGUUAAACGGUUUGAGUGGCAACCUAAGUGAAGUAGGUGCAUAUUUGUUUGCCCACUAUAGCAGAUUUUUAGCUUGACUCUCAGUCUUGAGGUGUUCCGGAAAUAUAGUUAUUGGAUUGAUACCGCAUGCUGGUAUACUUGGGCUUUUAGUGCUCACGUAGGAAUCUAUCUCUUAGUGAGAUGAUAAACUGAAGUCAAUGAAAAAUUGCCAUGUCUAUCAUGGGUUCCUCCUGUAUACUGAUUUUCAACACAACUUUGUAAAUUUCUGUUUAUAAAACCUAGUCCCUCAAUAAACAGACUUUGCUCUCGAAAGCCUGCAGAAAGUCCAUCCUAGUAGGCUCUUCAUCUUUUCUGUGUGGCACAGUUCUUGUAAUAAAUAGUAUACAUAAUACAUUAAUUGUCUGUUUAGAUAGACGAGUUUCAUGCAACUCUUACCAUAAGGGAACUCAUCCAAAGUUAAGCUAUCUUUGUGUGAUGUUUCAGUCUUAAUCCAGAUUAUUUGAGUUUCAGAACAAUGUUGUACUUAAUAUAUGCCAUUAGUCGUGGAACUCCUUAGUUUACCUAAAGUGAAUGUUUUCCUCUCCACUGUGGACCUUAAGAAUUAGGGGUAAAUUGAUCUUUCUGUUGGUUUGUUCCAUAAUAAUAACAAAGUUAUGUUUGAACUGGGAAUGCUAUAUCUUUAUGCGCAAAAAAAAGGGAAUGCUAUAUCUUUGGUUUGGUGAUCAUAAAACAAGUUAGUGUUCAAAGCACCUAUACGUCAGAUGCAGUCGUGUCCCUGUGCUGGACGUGUCUGAUACAGGGAUACGAGGGGACACACCGGGAUACUCGUAUCUCCUAGUAUCCUGUUUUUGCCAAAAAAAUAAAAUAAAUGGGCAGACGUCUGGGAUACUGUUACGACACGACUGGGAUAUGACCAAUGCCCUGCGCCUAGAAAACGAGAGGGAGGAGGGUUGGCAAUGUCUGGCAGCAGUUGUGGGAUAGAGGAGUCAGAUGCUUUGAGAAAUAAGAAAGAGAAAGGGGAAAUAGAGACAAGGUGGGUAACAGAAGCAUGGGAAGCGAUAAGGAGGAGAGCAGGCAGGGCCUAGCAGGUCAGCUUGACACGUUGCCUUUCAGGGGGCCAUACGUUUGUAGUUUGUUGUUUUUUUUAACAGGGAAGAUAGAGACAUGGCAAUGGCAUGGAAUCAAGACUAAGUACCAACAGUGGGCUCACUCAGUCUCAUUUAGAGUCAGUAUGGCUGGGAGCAAGGCCCCCGUCCUCUCUAAUACUUAAGCCUCAUCCCCUCUGCUAUUGCUUAUUUGUUGUAUUGCUUUUCAGAAACUAUGUACAUAUGGUUUUUGGAAAAUCAUGUAUCCUUGUCCCCAUUUCUGUAUCACCGUUUCCGAAUCCUCGUAUGCAUGCUACUUCAAAGUUACUGAGUAAUCACUAUGAAACUAGGAAGCUGGAAGAUGUGCCAAUGCGAUACUGAAAGAUGAUUAUACUAGAAGUAUUGGUCUUGAAACUAGUUUACCCAAAGUAAAUGUGUUCCUUUACACUGUGGGUCUUACAAUUUGGAGUUUGCAUAUGUUGGUUUGUACCAUAAUAAACCCAAAGCAAGUUAUGGUAGAACUGGGACUGCUACAUCUCUGGUAAUCAUAAAACAGGUUAAUGCCAACAGUCAGUACAUAAUUACUAGCAAUAAAGAAGGCUUGAAAAUGUGCCAGAUAUGGCACCGAAAGAUGAGUAUACUACACUGGUAUUUGUCAGGUUGAUAAUUUCUGUAUUCUGUCAAGAGGUCUUUUAACGAUAAAGUGAGAUGAAACUGAAGACUAACCGAAACAUUUGUGUACACCCUUUGUAUUGAAGAAGAUGGCAGGACUGCUGCCUUUUUAUCAAGAGGAUCAGAGUUUUUAUAUACAAGAAAAGGUCAUGUUUGAAGGGGGGACGAGAACCUAGAACCCCAAACAAAAAGGCCACUACUCAGUUAUAGGUUGUUUUUUUGACCAAGUACUCAGUUAUAGGGUUUGUGCUACUUUGUGUUGGCACCAUGGCCAAACAUCACUUUGAGAUAUCUUCUUAUGCCAUGAAAGCCACUGCUGUUGCAUCGAGCAGCUUGCCCUCCCAAAUAUUCUCCUGUUAUGUUCCUCUCCAAACAUGCCACCAGAUGAAGAGUAAUUUUCCACUGCAACUGUGUUUCUCUUCUUAUGCUACUGCUGCUAUGAUUUUGCUCCACCAAUCCGCCCGGCUUGGCUAAGCUAGCUGACAUUGAUGCUGUGGCUAAACCAUUUCCACCUUGCCACCAAGGUAGAAACUGCUUCCACAAAAGGGCAUUUAACGCAAAGAUGAUGAGCUGUUUCAGGAGCUCCUUGACAUAGCUUGCAAACUGGAUCGUGUGGCCAUCUUCUUUUGGCCAUCACGUCAGCUGUAAGGGCACGGUUACGAAGUACCAGCCAGGCAAGGAGGCAGCACCUUUGGUUCAUUCUUCAUUGGCAACUUUCCAUAUUUUAUCUGGUUUGAAAGCCACAAAACUGCCACUGAAUUGCAUCCUGUAUGCAGAUCUUGCUGAGCAUUGCCCUUUUUCAAUCCAUGUCCAAGUGAUAGUAUCUGCAUGUGGAUGCAGCUGGACCUGAAACAGUGUGCCCCAAAACUGGAGGAAUUGCACGAGCUCCUGCAUUGUGCUCACUUUGGCAAGGCAUCGAAUCCACAAAUUGUCAUGCCAAAACAUGUCCUCUCUCCGUUCCCGCUCUGAUAACCGUGGAGGCCCUAAACAACUCCAUGUCUGCUGCAUUGCACGGUAACUGAGUCCCGUGCCAUGGUCUGUCUUGAUCUGUCCAGUGAUACCAUGGCCACCUUAAACACAAAACUCAUCAAAAUUUCGUCAAGUCUAGCACUCCCAGGCCCCCAAGAGCACAUAGUCUGCAGAUAGUGCUCAAAUUGACAAGGGAAUUCCCUCCAUUUGCAAGUUCAGCAUUGUAUUCUUGGCAACCCGUUUUGGUAUUUGGAGGACUGUCAUAUGGUAGGUUGUAAAUAGAGGAUGGGACUGAUUUGGCUAGAGUGGCUCGUCCUGCCCUAGAGAGGUUCUUGCCUUUCCAUCCUGCAAUUCAAGCUCCAACUCUCUCAAAGAGUGGUUGGAAAUCAUUCGUUUACACUCUUUAACAUUAAUAUUGGCUUCACAUGGCAGUUUCAGUUAUUUGAUGCUUGCUAUGUAUUCUGUUACAAAAUGUGUGUCAUAGCUGGAAUAUCAAGGCUCAUUUUGAAAUUAAGAUAACAGAAAUGAUGGUGGUUUAUAGCCAGGUUGCCAGAAUUUGUUGCUUUCUACUCCCUCCGUUCCAUAAUUCUUGUCGAAAUCUUACAUGUAUCUGGACACUUUUUAGGAAUAGAUACAUCCAUUUUUGGGCAAAUUUGAGACAAGAAUUAUGAAACGGAGGGAGUAUUAUUUUCCUUACAAGCUUUUCUGCCAUCUAAAUGUAUUUGUCAUUUAUGUUUUCCUUGUGUUGAGAUGUACAUACGUAACCCCACUAAUACUUAGAUAUUUUGUAACAG